GAGUGAUCGAAAGAUGAAAAGCACUUUGAAAAGAGAGUUAAACAGCACGUGAAAUUGUUGAAAGGGAAGCGCUUGCGACCAGACUCGCCCACGGGGUUCAGCCGGCUUUCGGGCCGGUGUACUUCCCCGGGGGCGGGCCAGCGUCGGUUUGGGCGGCCGGUCAAAGGCCCCCGGAAUGUAACGCCCUCUCGGGGGCGUCUUAUAGCCGGGGGUGUCAUGCGGCCAGCCUGGACCGAGGAACGCGCUUCGGCACGGACGCUGGCAUAAUGGUCGCAAACGACCC
RNAcentral lists this ribosomal RNA (283 nucleotides) under Aspergillus penicillioides. RNAcentral describes it as "partial 28S ribosomal RNA". It matches the Rfam family "Eukaryotic large subunit ribosomal RNA", at positions 351 to 650 of the family's 3401-position model. Lineage: Eukaryota; Fungi; Ascomycota; Eurotiomycetes; Eurotiales; Aspergillaceae. The record is from RNAcentral.